ACAAUCCUUCGGGGCAGGGUGAAAUUCCCUACCGACGGUGAUGGCUGAAACGGAUAGCGGCGAUUUUCGCCGGUCGGUAUUAAUCCCCUCCGUUUCAAGCACGAGUCCGUGACCCGCGAAGCGCUGAACAAGCGCAAGCGGCUGAGCCGGUGCGAUUCCGGGACCGACAGUAUAGUCUGGAUGGGAGAAGGAAAAC
This 196-nucleotide non-coding RNA is filed under the name Paenibacillus macerans. Its description in RNAcentral is "FMN sequence". It matches the Rfam family "FMN riboswitch aptamer (RFN element)". Rfam says of the family: The RFN element is a highly conserved domain that is found frequently in the 5'-untranslated regions of prokaryotic mRNAs that encode for flavin mononucleotide (FMN) biosynthesis and transport proteins. The record is from Rfam by way of RNAcentral. Lineage: Bacteria; Bacillati; Bacillota; Bacilli; Caryophanales; Paenibacillaceae.